UGGCGGCAGGCUUACACAUGCAAGUCGAACGGUAGCAGGAGAAAGCUUGCUUUCUUGCUGACGAGUGGCGGACGGGUGAGUAAUGCUUGGGAAUCUGGCUUAUGGAGGGGGAUAACUACUGGAAACGGUAGCUAAUACCGCGUAAUAUCGGAAGAUUAAAGGGUGGGACCUUUGGGCCACCUGCCAUAAGAUGAGCCCAAGUGGGAUUAGGUAGUUGGUGGGGUAAAGGCCUACCAAGCCGACGAUCUCUAGCUGGUCUGAGAGGAUGGCCAGCCACACUGGAACUGAGACACGGUCCAGACUCCUACGGGAGGCAGCAGUGGGGAAUAUUGCACAAUGGGGGGAACCCUGAUGCAGCCAUGCCGCGUGAAUGAAGAAGGCCUUCGGGUUGUAAAGUUCUUUCGGUGAUGAGGAAGGUGUUUUGUUUAAUAGACAAAGCAAUUGACGUUAGUCACAGAAGAAGCACCGGCUAACUCCGUGCCAGCAGCCGCGGUAAU
Molecule: ribosomal RNA, 497 nt
Filed under: uncultured bacterium
Lineage: Bacteria
Description: bacterial SSU rRNA
Rfam family: Bacterial small subunit ribosomal RNA
Source: RNAcentral